UGAUUAUUUACAUGUAUUGCAUAUUAAUGUAUUUACAGAAUGUUGCAUGUCUUUCAGAAACAGACAGAAUUAGCAGCUGGUCUGUUGUCCAGCAGCCUGUGUCUGACAGACUUCAUCCAGCAGAUUCAGUGACCCUGCAGUGUUCGGUCAGCAGUCACAUCUGUGCUGGACAUUACAGAGUCUACUGAAUUAAACACUCAUCAGGAUAUUCUCAACCAGCGAUCAUUUACACUCAUGAUAACAGGAGCGAUCAGUGUUUGGAGAAAUCAGAGAAGAGCUCUUUGGUUCAGAGUUGUGUUUAUAGUCUCUCUCAGACUGAACUCUCUACAUCUGAUGCUGGAGUUUAUUACUGUGCCGUAGACAUAUGUGGGAAGAUACACUUUGGAAAUGGAACCAAGUUGACUAUUGAAGCUCCAUCCUUUUGGAAUCCUGUUGUUUUUACCCUGCCUAUAAUAAGUAUAAUAUCCAUUGUUGUGAACAUAGUUCUGGUGAUUCAACAAAAUCGGAAAAAAGAAACUACAGAACAACUCAGAAGCCAGAUAAAUCAGAUUGAAACAGAUGACUUAAAUUAUGCUGCCCUUCACUUUUCCAAAAAAAAGCCCACCACCUCGAGAAGAUCUUCAAUGAAAACCAUCCAGGAAACUAUUUAUUCAGAGACCACAAUACAUUAGCUGAGACCAUUACUGAUGAUAAGACAUUA
This is a long non-coding RNA of Danio aesculapii, 700 nucleotides long. RefSeq lists it as uncharacterized. The record is from RefSeq and is a predicted model, not a curated record. The transcript has 4 exons. NCBI's taxonomy places the organism in Eukaryota, Metazoa, Chordata, Actinopteri, Cypriniformes, Danionidae.